UUGAACGCUGGCGGCAGGCCUAACACAUGCAAGUCGAACGGUAACAGGAAGCAGCUUGCUGCUUCGCUGACGAGUGGCGGGCGGGUGAGUAAUGUCUGGGAAACUGCCUGAUGGAGGGGGAUAACUACUGGAAACGGUAGCUAAUACCGCAUAACGUCGCAAGACCAAAGAGGGGGACCUUAGGGCCUCUUGCCAUCGGAUGUGCCCAGAUGGGAUUAGCUAGUAGGUGGGGUAACGGCUCACCUAGGCGACGAUCCCUAGCUGGUCUGAGAGGAUGACCAGCCACACUGGAACUGAGACACGGUCCAGACUCCUACGGGAGGCAGCAGUGGGGAAUAUUGCACAAUGGGCGCAAGCCUGAUGCAGCCAUGCCGCGUGUAUGAAGAAGGCCUUCGGGUUGUAAAGUACUUUCAGCGGGGAGGAAGGGAGUAAAGUUAAUACCUUUGCUCAUUGACGUUACCCGCAGAAGAAGCACCGGCUAACUCCGUG
Molecule: ribosomal RNA, 489 nt
Filed under: uncultured bacterium
Lineage: Bacteria
Description: partial 16S ribosomal RNA
Rfam family: Bacterial small subunit ribosomal RNA
Source: RNAcentral